This 460-nucleotide ribosomal RNA is filed under the name uncultured bacterium. RNAcentral describes it as "partial 16S ribosomal RNA". It matches the Rfam family "Bacterial small subunit ribosomal RNA", at positions 338 to 795 of the family's 1533-position model. The record is from RNAcentral.
CCUACGGGAGGCAGCAGUGAGGAAUAUUGGUCAAUGGCCGGAAGGCUGAACCAGCCAAGCCGCGUGAGGGAGGAAGGCGCAGAGCGUCGCAGACCUCUUUUGCCGGGGGACAACAGGCCGGACUCGUCCGGUCCUGAGGGUACCCGGAGAAAAAGCAUCGGCUAACUCCGUGCCAGCGGCCGCGGUACUACGUAGGGGGCAAGCGUUAUCCGGAUUUACUGGGUGUAACGGGGGCGCAGACGGCGAUGCACGCCGGGAGUGAAAGCCCGGGGCCCAACCCCGGGACGGUGCUUGGAACUGCGUGGCGGGAGUGGAGGAGGGGCAGGGGGAAGUCGUGGUGUAGCGGUGAAAGGCGUAGAUAUCAGGAGGAACACCGGUGGCGAAGGCGGCCUGCUGGACUGCAACUGACGUUGAGGCCCGAAAGCGUGGGGAGCAAACAGGAUUAGAUACCCGAGUAGUC